Molecule: ribosomal RNA, 253 nt
Filed under: uncultured bacterium
Lineage: Bacteria
Description: partial 16S ribosomal RNA
Rfam family: Bacterial small subunit ribosomal RNA
Source: RNAcentral
UACGUAGGGUGCGAGCGUUAAUCGGAAUUACUGGGCGUAAAGCGUGCGCAGGCGGUUUUGCAAGCCGGAUGUGAAAUCCCCGGGCUUAACCUGGGAAUGGCAUUUGGGACUGCAAGGCUGGAGUGCGGCAGAGGAGACUGGAAUUCCUGGUGUAGCAGUGAAAUGCGUAGAUAUCAGGAGGAACACCUGCGGUGAGGACAGCUUUCUGGACCAUCACUGACGCUGAGACACGAAAGCGUGGGUAGCAAACAGG